Molecule: long non-coding RNA, 3717 nt
Filed under: Anas zonorhyncha (Eastern spot-billed duck)
Lineage: Eukaryota; Metazoa; Chordata; Aves; Anseriformes; Anatidae
Description: lncRNA (ENSAZOG00000008954.1)
Source: RNAcentral
AUGGAGAAGGCAGCCAGGGGAGGAUGCCUGAGGGUCCCUCAGUCUGGGUUCUUUCUGCUCUGGGGUGCUGCAGAAGCCCCCCCACUGGGGCUGAGGUUUGCCUGCACCCCGGGACAGCCAGCACCACCCGGCAGGAGCAGGACAACGCUCCCCAAUGCAGACGAGGAAGGCACGACCCUGACUGUGGGAAGCUGCUGGCAGCGAGUUCUGCCUGGAAAUCCUUUGGAUCUGGGUCUUGGGGAAAGGAGGGAAUUCCACCGUGCAUCGAAGGUGUUCGUGCCAGGAGACAGCAGGGGAGCAGCGCGCCCUGUGCCAGCCAGGAGAUGCUUCCCUGCUGGCUCUGCCCCCAUCAUCUGCUCUCCUGAGGCUGGAGCAGCGUGGGGACAGAGCCCUUGGUCCUCUGCCUGGGCCUGGUGCAGAGGAUGGAGAGGGAAGGUCUCACCCCCAGUAUGCUCCUUGCACACUUGAACAUCUUUUUAAUAUUUUCUCGGAGACUUCUCCCUGCGUGUUUCAUGCUCUGGCUCAGCAGUGUGGGUGCUCAGGGUGAAUACAGAGCAGUUUAGCACUCUGGAGUGACGCGAGACCUUUUCAGGGGAUGAUUCAGACUGGCCUAAUCAGAAUUACUACAGCUUUGAAAACCUUUGCAAAGAGAGGCUUAUUUAACCAGCCCGGGCCAGGAGUGGGAUGCUGUAGUCCCAGUAGGAUGCAGCAAUUGCAUCAGAGCCGUCAGAGGAGAGCCCCUGGGCUGAGCAGAUCCACGCUGUGCCCCCGGCCGGGCACCGAGCUCAGCCCCUGCCUGCUCCGUGCACAGGCAGCGGCGUUUCGGGAGGGAAAAUGAGUCAACGCCCUCCUGGUCCCCGCACACGAGGAAUAAACACACCUCUGCAGAAUCACAGCCCGUCCUCCCUGCUGAAGGUCAGCGUGGUUAUGAAUUCACCCCGUGCCUCAACACGUGGGGUGUUUUCUUUGUUUCUUUGAGCUCUGCUCCCCCAUGGCCAGUCCCUGCGGGCUGCAGUCGAGGUGCUCAUGGCCAGACCAGAGCUGUCUUGCAGUUGGGGCCCUCCAGCAUGGACUGUCUGAUGGCACAGGGAUGCCUUUGUGCUCCCCUAGCCACGACCACCCCCCGUGGCACUGGUGGUGCGAAGUGGGAAGCCUUUGGGACCGUCCCUCAUCCUCUCCUCNNNNNNNNNNUCCCUAGCCACAACCACCCUCUGUGGCACUGGUGCCUUUGGGACCGUCCCUCAUCCUCUCCUCCCUUAAGUGCUGCUUCACCCUGGAGCAGUUCUGGGGUGGCCACGCACGUGCCGAGGGGCAGCAGGGCUGUGCCUUGCCCAGCUGAGCCGCUUGGCUCCGUGUCCCCACCGAAUUCCCCUGGAAAUCCUCACCAGGCUGCCGCCUGCUGGGGCUGCACGCCCAGGAAGCCGCCAGAUGAACCAGAGGCACUCGGUUCCCUGAGCCUCUGCCGUCGGUCUGAGCCUUGGCACGGCCCCCCUGAGGCUGGUAAGGGAUGAGCUUGGUGCAGAAGCAGGCGUGCAGGAAGCAGCUCUCUUUGGCCCUAACGCCGGGGACAUGGGGACCUGCCAGCUUGGCCUGCUGCACGUGGCCAGAGCUGCUCAGCCAGGGGGUUCAGAAUAUUUUGGGGAGUGCACAGAGUCUCACACACAAAGCCAUCGUUUCAGGCUACAAACCCACCCUUAGAAAAUGAAUACAUUAAUUAAGAAGCAAAGGAAUAAAGCGGUGGCAGCCCCCUGUAGCUAGGAGAGACCCCUAGCCAGCAGCUCCUUGUCCCCAUGCACAGGGGACAGAAACCUUUCUCCUGCAGCCAGCCACACUGCACGGAGGCUGCAGAGAGCUCAGCACGUGGAGGCUGGGCAGUGGUGAGGGCAGGAGCUCCCCCAGCCUCCUGCGGCUCCCGAGCCAGCCCCGCAGCCCCUCGGAGAGGCCCCCCCACCAUUUUGCAGCCAACAGCUUUGGAGCCCCUGAAUGCUCCUCUACGGGACAGUGCACAGCCAGGAAAGCAUCCCCUGAAUCCCACUGAGCACCAGGGGCCCCGCAUCCCCUCCUGGGUGCACAGCUCACCAGGACCUCCCCCCAGCCAGCCCCAAAGCCACCCCCGGCGGGCAGGGGGCUGUUCACGUAGUCGGGCAGCACAGAGGGGCUCCAGCUGCAGAGGGGAAGCUGUUUCCAAGCUCCUUCGGUAGCAUCCUGUGGAGCAGGGCACCGGCAGCAGCACCAGCACCGGGGAAUUCCUGCCUCUGCAGCCCUGCCUGUGCCAAGGCGCACGCAGAUGCUCCUUCCCUGAUGGUUAUGUAGGUUAAUAGCAUGCAAUGCGAUUGCAAGGCACAGGCAACCGCAAAGCUAUGUCAAUAUUUAGCGUUUACACAUUUGGCUAAUUAGGGAGCAACCUGUGAUUGCCUCCGAAGGAGGCAGGGCUGCGUCGCCCAUCUCCCUCCCCCUCUCCGCGUGCUCCUGGUUGGGAUGGAGGAAACGUCGGCUCAUUAUUUCUGGAGUUCUCUGGCCACAAACAGUCCGUCCCGAAAUGCUGUGCCCAGGCGCUGGAUGUCAGAAAUCAUUAUCCUAAAUACAGCUCCAUGCAUGAUUCAUGAAGCUGGGCUUCACAUUAAUCAGGGAGAGAUGGGCGAAAGCGGAGCAGCGUCGCAGACCGCUGUGCACAGGCAGGCGAACGGGAAGAUGAGAUUUGGACCUCUGGGGCUAAAAUCAGAGGGAUGGUGCAAAUCAGAGAAACAGCCACGGUCCCAAAACAAUCAGAGCCCAUGUGAGUAGAGACCAAAUGCAGGCAAUGGGCCGAUGCCCAAGUACCUUUCUGCUUGAGGAGCUGCUGCGACUCGAUCACAUUAAUGAGCACAGGGCAGCCGGCACCGUGGCUCUGAGCAGCCUCGGAGAUGCUCGGCUGCUUUCCACAUUAGCCCUGGUCCGGGCAAUGCGCUGGGCCAGCAGUGGGACUCACACAAUGAUGUGAUGUUAUGAUGUGCAGAGCGUACUGCGAUGCUCUGCACAGUAUGACCACUAAAAAUAGAAAAAUGUGUGGGUUUUUUUUUCUGAAAUGUCACUGGGAGGUUCCAGGGCAAGCUGGGUUUCUGCACCGAUGCCACGCUGCGCCCCAGCAAUCAGGACCUUCUUGGGACACAAAUGCUCCUUCCAUUGCUCCAGGGCUUGGGAAACCAGGGAGAUGUGUCAUCUCUGUACCUGGAUCUGCCCCAAACACAAGCCCUGGGCCCCGACGGUCAAACAGCCAGUGUGGGUUGCCCUCGGUGUGCCAGUGUGGAUGGCGAGCUGCAGCAGGACGCUGUGCGCAUGUUGCAGGAGCAAGUGUCCACGCCAGGCUCAGCCCCUGAGCUCCAUCCCCACAUCCUGGGCUGUUCCUUUGCCACUUGUACAACCACUCCUGGUUACAAAUAAAUAAAUGAAUGAACCCACAAAAAUGCAGUGACAAGCAGCCAGGCCAGCCGUACAGAAGGGGGAAAUCCAUAGCUGGCAUUGUAAAACCUGGGCUCUGAAAUGAAAGCAGCGGUGACCCCUGUGUCGUGGAGGAAGCAGGCAGCACCACCAAGCCCUGCAGCCCUGCUGGGCUGGGACAGCUUGGGAGAGUGGGACCCCCAUGGGCAAGGCCCCAGGAGCCACCGCUCUGGGCUGGUGGAAGCCCUUGUGCCAUGGGAGCCCCCGUCACCAAGCCCAUCCCAUGGGAACCUCCCCAGG